This 1555-nucleotide long non-coding RNA is filed under the name Lynx canadensis (Canada lynx). RNAcentral describes it as "lncRNA (ENSLCNG00005021310.1)". Lineage: Eukaryota; Metazoa; Chordata; Mammalia; Carnivora; Felidae. The record is from RNAcentral.
CGUCUCCUUCUGGGUCUCUGGUGCAGACGCCUUCUUUACCAUGGUGGAUCUAAGUCCCCCAGAGUGUUUACUGGAGAGGCCCUAUUCUUAACUGACUGCCGGCCUGCCAGGCUUUGUGAGACAACUCAAAGAAGAUACUCUUCUAGUCACACCAUAGGAUCCAUACCACCUACCUACCUCUGUGGAGAGAUUUCAGAGCAAGGGGCUCAGGGCAGCCACAGUUCCUUCAAGGGGUCAGCAGCAUCAGUCCAGAGGCACAGACCGCACAAAGGGAGAGUCCCCUCCAAGAAUUCCUCUCCCAGUCCCCAGUGUGGAUGCGUGAGCCCAGAUGAACCGCUGCCAACUGCUCCAUCGGUGGAGAACCAGGUAAGCAGACGGCAGGACCUCAGAAGGACAACAGUCCCAUCUGCAUUGCCAGAUUUGUAACCCAAGUAACAAGAGUUUGCUCCUUGGUGUGUCCCAGAUAGAAACUACAUCAGGUGGAGUUGUUGCACAAAGAGGGUCAUGGCGAGUGACUUCCAAAACCUGACUGCCCGAGCAAGGGUAAAUGGGUUCCUCUGUUUAGGAAUAGGAUGAAUAUUUAGAUAGGGAAGCCUCGUCCGCCACAGCUCACACACACACACACACACACACACACACACACACACACACACUCUCACUCUCUCACUCUCGCACGCGCACGUACUUUCACUUUAAUAAACUUUCCCACUGUGUUGUGUCUGUCCUUGAGUUCUUUCUUGUGAUGAGACCAAGAACCUUGGUGACAUCUUUGGGAGGGCUCUGGGGUCAAGGCUCCAUGGCCCAGGAUCCCCAGUUCACCCAGCAGCAAUUUCUAUAUACCCCAUGUUAAUUUUCCCUAUUUCUAACAUCUUAUGUAAGUGUGGUACAUUUGUCCCAAUUAGUAAGCCAAUAAAGUCUGUAUUUUCUCAUAUUUUUCUCAGUUUUUCUGUACGUUAUUUGUUCUGUGUUCCUUUCUAGGAUACUGUACUACAUUUAGUAGUCUUAUCUGCUUAAGAGCAUCAUGGCUGUGAUCAGUUCAAACUCUCACUUCCUAAUUAAUUUCCUUCCUGUUACUCUAUCUCAGUUCUCUAGGCUAUUUAUCUAUCAGUAUGGUAAAAUACAUAUUCUUCCCAACUCUAUGCAGUGACAUCAUGUGGGUAGUUUGAAAUUGGCCAUGGCGGAGUAUUUAUGCAUCCCAAAUUGGCAAAAAAGUCACAGCUUUUUUAAAAAAAUUAUUUAUUUAUUUUUUUUGAGAGCCUGUUAUCGAUAUUUUCCUCUGUUGGCACUACGUCUACGUGGCCGUCUCUUUUCAGGAGCCAAUAGGACAGUGUCCCAUAGGAAGGCAUUUUACCCACUGGUGUACAGAGUAUUUGUAGGCAGGUAAAUCCAGGAGCUGUAGGGGAGGCAAGAUGUAGGGGAGUCAUUUAUGACAUCUCUGUUUUGUUAUUUCUCAGUGUAUCUGCACAGGACUCUAUGCUUUUGUAAGAACGGCAGAAAAUGGACAAAUCCCCAGGUGAGUUGUUUUUUAUUAUUAUUUCCUGCUUUGUUUACAUUA